This 34645-nucleotide long non-coding RNA is filed under the name Hordeum vulgare. Its description in RNAcentral is "long non-coding RNA (HVUL_LNC020459)". Lineage: Eukaryota; Viridiplantae; Streptophyta; Magnoliopsida; Poales; Poaceae. The record is from RNAcentral.
GCUGGCAUAUCACUAGUCGACUUAACCCAACUUGAACAACCUUUCUAUUCCAGGUACGUGUACAAGUAUGUAUAUCCUUUUACAAUAUGCAAAUCAUGCAUUUAGAUACCAUAACGUGAUACAAUGACAUUGAUCAAUCAUAAGCUUAUAAAGCAUGCAUGCAUGAGCGAGGGAGCCCAUGCAAACGCCUGACAUAUGAACUGUAACAGUGCGCGCGUAUGACAUGCAAUAGCUACGAGUAAAUCGAUGGAUAGAUGGAUCACAUGGGGCAGGUGAAGUUGGCGGGGCACUUCUUGCCGCACUGGUUGAGUNNNNNNNNNNGGUUCGAUUUGAAAUUGUCCAUUAAGAUGAAACCAAUAUAGGAUUUAAUCUUCCCAGCCACACGAUGCGGAUGAUGCAAAUUCUCACCAUUUCUUAUAUUAUUUCUUUUAUCCGAGAUGUGCCAUAUAGCCACAGUAAAGUACAAUGCGUGAAGAUCUGGUGCAACAUUUAUCCAUUCUAGCAAUCAUUGAUGAAUAUUGAUAAACCUUUUUAGAUUUAGCACGAUAUGAAAAGACCUUUCAUAGUUUGCCCAAAAAUUCUUUGACAUAAUGGGAAAAGAAGAAACAAUGUUCCACAGUCUCAACUCUAUUACAGAUAAAACACUCAUACCUCGUAGGAAAUGUUCCACAGUUUCAUCAAUGUUCCUCACCAGUAGGUAAAAAAUUACGAACCAUUCUCCAUAAGAUGAUCUUCAUUCUAUUUGGACUUUGUAUUUCGAGUUUUUGCUCUAUAUUUUUCCUGUUUCCUCCAUGUUCGAGGCUGAUCCUCUUCCAUCAGAGCUCUAGUACAUCCAGAACGAUAAGGAUUUUGCAAGGUUAUACCGAGACAAUAUAGUGUAGGUGCCUCCAUUCGUGUAUGGCCAUGAUGCGAAAUCUCAGCACCCUUAUGAACUUAGAGGGAUCUUUAGGAUCUUUACAACCAGGUUUUUUGGAAACAUUUCACUAACAACCACACUGUUUCAUGAUUUACCAUCAGUUAAAAACAAAUGGUUCGCAGUCUUAUCCUCCUCCACCGGGAAAUUUGUACAAAGUAUGCCACGAAAUGAGUGUGGGAUCCAAUUAUCUUAAAUCAAAGAUAUUUGCUUUCCGUCUCCUAAUUGCAAGAAUAAGCCGUUUUGAAGGAGUUUCUUACCAAAUAAUAUGCUGCGCCAUGUGUGGGAAGCUGAUCUUGGGCAUCCUGAUCUCCAAAAAUCUCCAUGCGGGAAAUACCUUCCUUCUAAUACCUUGAAGCAUAAUGAAUUGGGGUUCACUAAGAGCCUACAGCACUGCUUUGCAAGCAUGGCUUGAUUAAAAAUCACCAAGUCCCUGAAUCCCAUUCCUCCAAGAUACUUGGGCGAGGAUAGCCAAUUAGAGGACCUCCAAUGAAUUUUUUCCUCCCAUCUUCCAUUCCCCACCAUACUGGAGAUAGGUCUAUUCAUGUUCUCACAUAUUGAUAUUGGAAUUUGGAAGCAGCACAUUACAUAUGUCCGGAUGGCUUGAGCCACCGACUUUAGAAGUACUUCUCUACCUUCUCUGGAUAACAGUCUUAUCAUUCCACCCAUUUAAUAUCCUCCAUAGCCUCCGAGUGAGGAAAUUAAAAUUGCUUGUUGUAGAGCAUCCCACCCAAGAAGGCAUGCCAAGGUAAGUGGCUUGUAGAGACUCAUCUCGGACUCCUACCAUGUUCUUUACUCGUUCCUUCACCCGAUUGUCACAAUGAUGUCCAAAGAAGAUAUAUGACUUGUGCAAGUUGAUUUUCUGACUAGAGCCUUUGUAGUACGUCUCAAGAGCGAUUUUAAGUAUGUUUGUGCUUCUAUUGUCGCCCUUCACAAAAAAUAUGCUAUCAUCAUCAAAUAAGAGGUGGUAAAUAGGAUNNNNNNNNNNUUGAUGUCCAAAGAAGAUAUAUGACUUGUGCAAGUUGAUUUUCUGACCAGAGCCUUUGUAGUAGGUCUCAAGAGCAAUUUUAAGUAUGUUUGUGCUUCUAUUGUCUCCCGUCACAAAAAAUAUGCUAUCAUCAUCAAAUAAGAGGUGGUAAAUAGGAUGGCCUGCUUUUCUGUUCUUGAUUUCUCUAAUGUCCCUUAUUGCUUCUUUUAACUGUAGAAGACAAGAUAAACCUUCAGGACAUAAUAAAAAUAAGUAUGGGCUGAUGGGAUCACCCUGACAUAUGCCUCUAGUAGGUAUGAAAGGGCCAGUUAAGUUCCCAUUUACUUUGACUGCAUAUUGUAUAGAGGUCACACACCUCAUCACCGAUUCUAACUAGUUUCAAAUAAAGCCAAAUUUAACAAGAACCCCUUUCAAAUAAGGCCAUUCAACUCUAUCAUACACUAGUAGAAAAGAGGGCUUUGGUCCACUUGAUAAAAUCCCAUUAGUCUUGGGCCGACCCAUGUGGGAGGCGGGACACCAAUGUUUUUUUUUUAUAUAUUUCCUUUUUUCUUUUCUGUAUUUGUAUUUUCUAUUUUAAAAUAAUUCAGGAUUACAAAAUGUUUCCAUUUUCAGGAAAUAGAGAAAUAAAAAUAUUUUGAGAAAUCAUAAAUAUUCGUGAAUUCGUGAAAUGUGCAUGUUUUUGAAAAACAUUUGGGAAGUCAUAAAAUUUUCAAAUUUAAAAGAAUUCAUGAUUUUCAAACAAAUCUUUGCAUAUUCAAAGAUCUUUCAUGNNNNNNNNNNGAAAUCCCAUUAGUCUUGGGCCGACCCAUGUGGGAGGCGGGACACCACUGUUUUUUUUAUAUAUUUUUCCUUUUUUUCUUUUCUGUAUUUGUAUUUUCUAUUUUAAAAUAAUUCAAGAUUAUAAAUUUUUUCCAUUUUCAGGAAAUAGAGAAAUAAAAAUAUAUUUGAGAAAUCAUAAAUAUUCGUGAAUUCAUGAAAUGUGCAUGUUUUUUAAAAACAUUUGGGAAGUCAUAAAAUUUUCAAAUUUAAAAUAAUUCAUGAUUUUCAAACAAAUCUUUGCAUAUUCAAAGAUCUUUCAUGAUUUUGAAAAAAAGUCCGGGAAAGAAAUAAAGUGUGUGGGUUCAAAAACAAUUAUUAAAGAUGGAAGAAGUUCAUGAAUUAAAACAAUAUUCACGAUUCUGUAAAAAAUGUCCAUAAAAAAUGUAUUUCAGUUUAAAUUGUCCCUGAAUUUCGAAGUUCAUCNNNNNNNNNNAAAAAGUGUGUGGGUUCAAAAACAAUUCUUAAAGAUGGAAGAAGUUCAUGAAUUAAAACAAUAUUCAUGAUUCUGUAAAAAAUGUCCGUAAAAAAUGUAUUUCAGUUUAAAUUGUCCCUGAAUUUCGAAGUUCAUCAAUUGAAAAGAGGUUUGCUGAAUGAAAGUAUGUUCAUGGUUUUCAAAAACAAAUUUAUUAAAAAAAUUGUGAUCUUCAAAAAGUUUUUCCAAAAUAUAAAAAUAUUUAUCAAUUCAAAACAAUUGGUUUAACUUUAAAAAAAUGUUCAUGAUUUCAAAUAAUGUCCGAGAAUAUGCAAAAAAUACGAAUAUAAAAAAUGUACACGUUUCAAAACAUGUCCAUAAAUUGAAAAAAUGUUUAUGAUUUCCAAAUGUGUUCACAAUUUUGAUAUUUUUUCAAUAUUUGUUUUUUUUGAAAAAGACAGGAAAAUUGAAAUUGGAAAUAAUGAAAAAUAUAAUAAAANNNNNNNNNNUCACGUUUCAAAACAUGUCCAUAAAUUGAAAAAAUAUUCAUGAUUUCGAAAUGUGUUCACAAUUUUGAUUUUUUUUUCAAUAUUUGUUUUUUUAAAAAGACAGGAAAAUUGAAAUUGGAAAUAAUGAAAAAUAUAAUAAAAGGCAAACAAGAAAAAAAAUGAGAAAUGAAAAAUUAAAAUGAAAAUGACAUAAUAAAAGAAAAUCAAAAAUAGAAAAGAAAGUGGAAAAGGAGAAAUACGAAAAUGAGAAAGAUAUAGAAAAAUAAAAAGAAGCAACAAAGAAGAAGAAAAUAAAAACUGACUCAACGAAGGUUCUAGAACUUCCGCCAACUGAAAAGAAAAAAAACUAGACUAGGAUGGUCCAAACGCGGGACAAUCUCGGGAGGGGGCUAUGCACCAGCUUGCUAUAGAGCGACCUACAUGCCAAAUNNNNNNNNNNUACUUCCGCCAACUGAAAGGAAAAAAAAUAGACUAGGAUGGUCCAAACGCGGGACAAUCUCAGGAGGGGGCUAUGCACCAGCUUGCUAUAGAGCGACCUACAUGCCAAAUUGGAACAAGAAAGCAAGACAUAGUCAUGCCACAUACGCUUGGUUGUCUCAUGGCAAUCGACAGGUAGCCCCUUGACUAUGUGCCAAGCCACACAUGUAGGUUGUAUCACUAAAGGCUUAAUUAUUCAGCCCGGCGUCAUCGCGCACUUGAGUAUUUCUUUCCUGUGUGGUCUAGAUGGGCUUGAUUUGUGGUCGUGGAUGACACCGUGAAGACCUCUUAUGGCAAGGCCAAGUGCACCGUACUCAUCCAGGCCUCGUAUGAAUAACCUCUUUUUCCUCUUAAUUCUCUUGUUUUAAUACUUCUCCUAGUUUCUAAUUUCUUCUUGUUUCGAAAUUUCAGACAAGCAUGGCAGGUUUGGGCUUGAUCUGAAGAUUUUCUUCCUCGGACCGUAACAGAAUUUGGUUUGUUCAAGAAGCUCAAGUAAGUCUUCUUUUUACCAGCAAAAGAAAGAAGCUCAUGUAAGUAUUUUUCUUAAGAUCUUUUAACCCAAGAAAGGAUAUGUGUCCUUGUUGCUCAAUCGUUUUUCCGAUCUCCGACUAAGACAUCCUGAUAAGAACGGCGCCCAAAUAUUUCACAUGAACAUGGUUCCUAUAUACAAGCUAUACAUUAUGUUUCAAAAGUAUGACAUAUAUAAAUAUGCCAAGUUCUGUUGCUUUCAUGCUUAGCACNNNNNNNNNNGAUCCUGACAAGAACGGGGCCCAAAUGUUUCACAUGACCAUGGUUCCUAUAUACAAGCUAUACAUUAUGUUUCAAAAAUAUGACAUAUAUAAAUAUGCCAAGUUCUGUUGCUUUCAUGCUUAGCACCUUUGGUUAACACCCCCAGGAUAGCAGGUAUACAUUUUUAACCAGGGUAGUUAUAAUUAAUCUUUUUUGCUUCCGAGCACCCAUUGUAUAUAGAGAGAUUUACACUAGGAUGUCAAUACCAUCUGUAUAUUUUGUUGUUGUUGACACUGCCUUAUCAAACUAAAUAAACAAAAANNNNNNNNNNNNNNNNNNNNNNNNNNNNNNNNNNNNNNNNNNNNNNNNNNNNNNNNNNNNNNNNNNNNNNNNNNNNNNNNNNNNNNNNNNNNNNNNNNNNUCCGACGGCCACCUUCAUGGAUAUGUUCUUGAAUUUCUGAUGAAGUUCACAUGAUGUUGAAUCCUUGAUUCCAUCCACGGGGUAGCCGGGACCGCCCUCUAUCAUUCUUCGUUCAUCGGCGGGCGGGGCCUCAGAUUCAGCCACGCUGCUUUUCCGCUUAGAUGGGGCACCGGUAAUAUCAAGUGCAGGAUCUUCCUGGCGCGGUACUCCUCUAAGCUCAUCAAUCUUCUUCUGUUGCUCGUUAAUCCUGGCAAGCAACUGGUUGAACUUGUCAUUCUCCUCAUCCUGCUUCCGCUUCUGUGCUCUCUCUCGGCUUCUGUAAGUGUCUUGGUCUCUGGCAAACCCAAGCCACCACGGGUAAGAUGGACCGAAGCCUCGCAUUCGUCCUCCAUGUUCGUCAUUGCCGAGGACCAGUGUGAGCAAAUCUUUAUCUCUAUCUGCAGUGAACUUUCUUUGUCCCUCCUUAAUUUCUUUCACUAUCCUUUUCCAAUUCUCCCUGGGUAUCCUAAGAUUGUCAUUGCAGAUGAGGUCCCCUGUUUUUUCGUCGCACGACCCACCAUGCGCAAGGAACCAAUUUCUUGCUCUCCAUUCCCACUCAUCACGGAGUGGUUCAGGUACGAUGCCUUUAUCUAUCAGAUCUUGCUCUUUCUUUUCCCACUUUGGGAUCGCAGUCUCAUAGCCCCCUGGCCCCAGCUUGUGGUUAUAUAUCUUCUUGUCGGCAUUUAUCUUGUUCUUUUCUGAUAAUGCCUGGGCAUNNNNNNNNNNCCCUGGCCCCAGCUUGUGGUGAUAUUUCUUCUUGUCGGCAUUUAUCUUGUUCUUUUCUGAUAAUGCCUGGGCAUCUUCUCACUCCUUGUACUCUUGAAAUUCCUUCCAGUGAUUCGCAUGCUUGGCUAGAUACCCCUCGAAUACUGGCACUUUCUUUGUCGUCAGAUAGUUUUUCCAUAGCUUCUUCUUCCAGCUACGGAAUAGUUCGGCCAUCUUCUUUAGAGUCGACUGCUUGACUUUGGCCCUCAGUUUGUCUGCGGCGUCUUCAUUCUCACAUUCUGGCAGGUUGAAAUGUGACAUGAUAUCAUUCCAAAGACUAUCUUUGUACCUUUCGACGACAUAGUCACUAUCGGCUGCCCCUUUGCGCUUGUUCCACUCCCGAACGCUGAUCGGGACGUGAUACCUAACGAGAACUCCGCAUUGCUUCUUGAAUGUGUCAGCAUCAUUCUUAGGAAGCUUGGGUUCACCCGUAGGCAUUAUCAGCUCAAAGGUGUAAUGCGUCNNNNNNNNNNNNNNNNNNNNNNNNNNNNNNNNNNNNNNNNNNNNNNNNNNNNNNNNNNNNNNNNNNNNNNNNNNNNNNNNNNNNNNNNNNNNNNNNNNNNNNNNNNNNNNNNNNNNNNNNNNNNNNNNNNNNNNNNNNNNNNNNUGGAGGCCUAAGAGGGAGAAACAUUCGUCAAAUGAAUGUAUAUGUAUAGAAUAUAGAGCUAUCUCCAAUAUUUUUCACAUAUUACAAGUGAUUGUCGAACUUCAUAUGUAUACCUCGCCGGACUUUAUUAUUUCUUCACCGGCUUAUCCACCGGCUUCUUCAUCAGUGGAGCUAUCACCUUCUCCAUCAUUGGACCUAUCUCCUUUUUCUUCUUUUCUUCUCCUUUUUCUUCUUUUCUUCUCCUUUUUCUUCUUUUCUUCUCUUUUUCCUUCCUUUCUUCUCCUUUUUCUUCUUUUCUUCUCUUUUUCCUUCCUUUCUUCUCCUUUUUCUUCUUUUCUUCUCUUUUUUCUUCUUUGCUUGUGCUGGCCGGAGUGUUGGGGAGGAGGGGGCAUGGGGCUUACCGGCCGGAGGUGUCGACGGCGCGCGGCGAGGAGGACGGCGGCGCGCGGCGAGGAGGACGGGGCGACUCGCGGCGAGCAGGACGGCGGCGGCGAGUANNNNNNNNNNGCCCCAUCGGCUUCAUCUUCGUGUCGCUCGACCUCCAUUCCAUAUCCAUAGUCGUUUAGAUAUGACGUCGGAGAUUCAGCUGGUUCAACGUCGGGGCCGUCUUUGAUUAUAUCUUCGAGAAGUUCUUCCUCUUCGAGGUUCCUGAUAUGUGGAUCCAUAGUUCUGCAAAAAACGGACAUUUGAUUAACUAAUAAACUAACAAACUAUAUAAGAGGGGUUGGAAACUUCGAAGGCUCGUUUUAUAUAGGAGGACCUUUAGUCCCGGGUCUUGGCUAGAACCUAAACUCUAAAAUACCAGCCGGGCGGAGCCCAGUCCCGGACACUUAAGCAUAUACAAUAGCAAAAUUAAACUAGUUCUAUUAAUUUUCUUGCUAAAAAUAAACUAUUAACACUUAAGCAUAUACAAUAGAAAAAUUAAACUAUUAACAAUUAAGCAUAUACAAUAGCAAAAUUAAGCAAUAAUCUAAGAAACACUAUUAACACUUAAGCAUAUACACUAUACAAUAGCAAAAUUAAAUGACAAAAAAAAUAGUUCUUCUUCUUGUAACCCUAAACUAAUUUUUCCUCUUCUUCUAUUUGUCCUCUUCUUCUACUUCUUCUUCUACUUCUACUUCUCCUCUUCUUCUACUACUUCUCCUCUCCUCUUCUUCUAUUUUUCCUCUUCUUCUCCUCUCCUCCUCUUCUUAUUCUCCUUUUUCUUCUUUUCUUCUCCUCCUCUUCUUAUUCUCCUUUUUCUUCCUUUCUUCUCCUUUUUCUUCCUUUCUUCUAUUUUUCUUCCUUUCUUCUCCUUUUUCUUCCUUUCUUCUCCUUUUUCUUCUUUUCUUCUCCUUUUCCUUCCUUUCUUCUCCUUUUUCUUCUUUUCUUCUCUUUUUUAUUCCUUUCUUCUCCUUUUUCUUCCUUUCUUCUCCUUUUUCUUCUUUGCUUGUGCUGGCCGGAGUGUUGGGGAGGAGGGGGUGUGGGGCUUACCGGCCGGAGGUGUCGACGGCGUGCGGCGAGGAGGACGGCGGCGAGCGGCGAGGAGGACGGCGGCGCGCGGCGAGGAGGGCGGCGCGCGGCGAGCAGGACGANNNNNNNNNNNNNNNNNNNNNNNNNNNNNNNNNNNNNNNNNNNNNNNNNNNNNNNNNNNNNNNNNNNNNNNNNNNNNNNNNNNNNNNNNNNNNNNNNNNNCCCGAGUGCGACUUUUAGUGCACACUCGGAGAAAGUUAAUACUUAGGCGAUUCUNNNNNNNNNNGAGUGUAUCUGUAGGAUACACUCGAAGGCAAUUGAGUACUUAGGCGAUUCGUGAUCGCGGCUAAGUCUUCGAGUGCGACUGUAAGGUCGUGCUCAGAGCGAGUUUUUACUCAUGUAAUUGUUAGUGGUGUUGACAUCUACAUGAGCCUCAAUGAGGUUCUGCUACUCAUGUAAUUGUCAGUUGUCUUGACAUCUACAUGAGCCUCACUGAGGGUCUGUUGAGUCCCCAAGUUUAUCUGUAGGAUACACUCAAAGGCAAUUGAGUACUUAGGCGAUUCUGAUCGCGGCUAAGUCUUUGACUGCGACUGUAAGGUCGUGCUCGGAGCGAGUUGUUACUCAUGUAAUUGUCAGUGGUCUUGACAUCUACAUGAGCCUCAAUGAGGUUCUGCUACUCAUGGAAUUGUCAGUUGUCUUGACAUCUACAUGAGCCUCACUGAGGGUCUGUUGAGUCCCCNNNNNNNNNNNNNNNNNNNNNNNNNNNNNNNNNNNNNNNNNNNNNNNNNNNNNNNNNNNNNNNNNNNNNNNNNNNNNNNNNNNNNNNNNNNNNNNNNNNNAGUCUACACUUCUUAAUAUGUCCGAUAGAAAUAUUAAGAUUGAGGCUGAGAAGAAGGUGCAAACUCUUCUCACAGAGAGGAGAUGAAAUGGGCCCUUUGAGCAAAGGUGGCGAAGGUGGACCAUGGAGAUGAUAAAACACAAUUCUUUCACAUGAUUGGGAAUGGCAAACAUAGGAAGAAGAAAAUAAUUCUACUUGAACACGAUGAUGAUACAAUUGUAGGAAAUGAGAACCUAAAAUUGUACAUCUUCGAGUAUUAUAAGAAACUUUUUGGUGCACCCGAAGAGAAUUUUGUUUUUCUGGAUUAGAGCACAACAAGUGACAUUCCUCAACCCAGUUCAGAUGAGAACGAGAUUUUGUCAGCCCCAUUUACGGAUGAAGAGAUGUUUGACGCAAUAUCACAAAUGAAGCAAAAUAAGGCACCGGGACCAGAUGGGUUUCUGAUGGAAUUUUAUAAAAAGUGUUGGCAUAUUAUUAAAGAUGAUAUUUGCAUAUGUUCCAUGAUUUGUUUAAUGGGUAUUUACAUCUAUUCCACCUUAACUUUGGAAUAAUAAUGGUGUUUCUAAAGAAGGUGGAGGCUAUUCGCAUUGAGAAGAUCAGGCUGACUGCUCAAUGCCAGCUUCAAAAAAUUUACAAAGGUUGGCACGAAUAGGUUGACAAAGAUAGCCCAUUCCGUAGUCCAAUCGACCGAGACAACUUUCAUGCAUGGAAGACAUAUCCUAGAAGGGUUCAUUGUUUUGCAUGAAAAGUUGCAUGAAAUACAUAAAAAGAAACUUGAUGGGCUUAUCUUUAAAGUGGAUCUCAAGAAGGCGUACGAUAAGGUCAAAUGGCCAUUUCUUCAACAAGCCUUGUGUAUGAAGGGAUUCAACGAAUCCUAGAGGGAUCAUGUGGGUGCUUUCAUUUAGAAAGGUAGAGUUGGGAUUAAAAUUAAUGAUGACAUAGCUCAUUAUUUUUAGACUCAUAAGGGAUUGAGGCACGGAGAUUUCAUGUCUCCCUUGUUGUUCAACAUAGUAGCAGAUAUGUUGGCACUCCUUAUUGAUCGGGCUAAAGAGAAUGGCCAAGUAGGAGGACUUCCUUGGGGAACGUCGCAUGGGAAACAAAAAAUUUCCUACGCGCACUAAUACGUCCAUUUUGCAUCAUUCUUUCAUGUUGAUAUUUAUUGUUUUUUCGGAUUUUAUAUUACUUCUGGUAGCAUAUUUAUGCCUCUUCUCUCUUAUUUUGCAAGGCUUAUUUGAAGAGGGAGAAUUCAGGCAGCUGGAAUUCAGGACUGGAAAAGGAGCAAAUCCUAGUCCACUAUUCUGCACAUCUCCAAAUACCCUGAAAAUUUACGUGGAUUUUUUCUGGAAUAUAUUAAAAAUACUGGGCGAAAGAACUACCGGAGGGGUCCACCAGGGCCCCACAAGCCCCCACUCCGCCACCAACCCCCCUGGUGGCGGUGGGCAAGCUUGUGUGCUGCCUGAAGGCCCACUAGCCCCCCUCUUUUGCUAUGUGAAGCGUCCUGACCUGGGAAAAAUCAUACGGGAGCUUUUUCGUGGUUUCGCCGUCGCCACGAGGCGGAACUUGAGCACAUCCAAUCUAGAGCUCCGGUAGGACGAUCCCGCCAGGGAAAUUUCCCUCCCGGAGGGGGGGAAUCGUCGCCAUCGUCAUCACCAACACUCCUCUCGUCGGAGGGGAGUCAUCUUCAUCAACAUGUUCAUCAGCACCAUCUCCUCUCCAAUCCCUAGUUCAUCUCUUGUAAUCAAUCUUCGUCUCGCGACUCCGAUUGGUACUUUUAAGGUUGCUAGUAGUGUUGAUUACUCUUUGUAGUUGAUGCUUGUUGGAUUACUUGGUGGAAGAGUUGAUGUUCAUAUCCUUGAUGCUAUUCAUUACACCUCUGGUCAUGAUUAUGAUUAUGUCUUGUGAGUAGAUACUUUUGUUCGUGAGGACAUGGGAUAAGUCAUGCUGAUAAUAGUCAUGUGAAUUUGAUAUUCGUUCGGUAUUAUGAUAUGAUGUAUGUUGUUUUCCCUCUAGUGGUGUUAUGUGAACGUCGACUACAUAACACUUCACCAUGUUUGGGCCUAGAGGAAGGCAUUGGGAAGUAGUAAGUAGAUGAUGGGUUGCUGGAGUGACACAAGCUUAAACCCCAGUUUAUGCGUUGCUUCGUGAGGGGCUGAUUUGGAUCCACUAGUUUAAUGCUAUGGUUAGACUUUGUCUUAAUUCUUCUUUUGUAGUUGCGGAUGCUUGCGAGAGAGGUUAAUCAUAAGUGGAUGCUUUUCCAAGUAAGGGCAGUACCCAAGCGCCGGUCCACCCACAUAUCAAACUAUCAAAGUAACGAACGUGAAUCAUAUGAACAUGAUGAAACUAGCAUGACAGAAAUUCCCGUGUGUCCUCGGGAGCGUUUUUCCUCCUAUAAGACUUUGUUCAGGCUUGUCCCUUGCUACAAAAGGGAUUGGGACACUUGCUGCACUGUUUCUACUACUUGUUACUUGUUACUCUUUGCUUGCUACGUUUCACCUCGCUACACAAUCACCUAUUACCGCUACUUUCAGUGCUUGCAGUUAUUACCUUGCUGAAAUCCGUUUAUCACAGCCUUCUGCUCCUCGUUGGGUUCGACACUCAUACUUAUCGAAAGGACUAUGAUUGAUCCCCUAUACUUGUGGGUCAUCAAGACUCUUUUCUGGCGCCGUUGCCGGGGAGUGAAGCGCCUUUGGUAACUGGAAAUUGGUAAGGAAACAUUUAUAUACUAUGCUGAAAUUUAUUGUCACUUGUCACUAUGGAAACUCUUCCUUUGAGGAGUUUGUUCGGGGUAUAUUCACCACGAACGGAAGCACGAGGAGUUGCUCCUCAACCUGAGGUACCUACUGAAAAUAUCUUUUAUGAAAUUGCUUUGGGUAUGCUUGAGAAACUGCUGGCUAAUCCUUUCACAGGAGAUGGAUCUUCACAUCCAGACUUUCAUCUAAUCUAUGUAGAUGAAGUUUGUGGUUUAUUUAAGCUUGCAGGUUUGCCCGAGGAUGAGGUAAAUAAGAAAGUCUUUCCUUUAUCUUUGAAGGAUAAGGAGUUGACAUGGUAUAGGCUAUGUGAUGAUGAUGGAUCAUGGGGCUACAAUCGGUUGAAAUUGGAAUUUCAUCAAAAGUUCUAUCCUAUGCAUUUAGUACAUCGUGAUCGGAACUUUAUUUAUAACUUUUGGCCUCGUGACAGGGAAAGCAUAGCUCAAGCUUGGGGAGGCUUAAAUCAAUGAUAUAUUCAUGCCCCAAUCAUGAGCUCUCGAGAGAAAUCAUCACUCAAAACUUUUAUGCUCGGCUUUCUCAUGAAGAUCGUACCAUGCUUGACACUUCUUGUGCCGAUUCUUUUAUGAAGAAGGAUAUUGAUCACAAGUGGAAUUUAUUGGAGAGAAUCAAACGCAACUCCGAAGAUUGGGAGUUGGAGGAAGGUAAGGACUCAGGUAUGAAUUUCCAGUUUGAUUGCGUUAAAUCUUUUGUUGAGACAAACACUUCUAGAGAUUUUAGCGCUAAGUAUGGACUUGACUCUGAGAUAGUAGCAUCUCUUUGUGAAUCUUUUGCUGCUCAUGUUGAACUUCCCAAAGAGAAGUGGCAUCCUCCUGUAGAAAGCAACAUAGCCUAAACCAAUCUAGUUGAGGAGAAAAUCAUAGCUUUUAGUGAUCCUGUUGUUCCUUGUGCUUACACUAAGAAACCACCAUCCCCUGCUAGAAUGAAGGAUUAUUCUAAAGCUCCAACUGUGAUAUGUAGGGGUUACAUUAGACCACUUGCACCCCCUGAGGAGAUUAGAGUUGAACCUAGUGUUGCUAUUAUCAAAGAUCUCUUAGCCGAAGACAUAGAUGGGCAUGUUAUUAAAUUCUGUGAGGACUCUGCUAGAAUUGCUAAACCUCACGCGAAAGACAAGCAUGGACCUGUAGUUGGCCUUCUCGUUGUUUCUGUUAAGAUAGGAGAUCACUGCUACCAUGGUUUAUGUGAUAUGGGAGCUAGUGUUAUUGCAAUACCCCGUUAUCUCUAUGAUGAAAUCAAAGAUGAGAUUGCACCUGCUGAGAUAGAAUCCAUUGAUGUCACUAUCACGCUAGCUAAUAGAGACACUAUCUGCCCUUUGGGAAUUGUGAGAGACGUAGAAGUCCUGUGUGGUAAGACGAAGUAUCCUACUGAUUUCCUCCUCCUCGGUACUGCACAAGAUAGCUUUUGUCCCAUCAUAUUUGGUAGACCCUUUCUCAACACUGUCAAUGCUCACAUUGAUUGCAUUAAGCAGACUGUCACAGUAAGUUUUGAGGGUGUGUCUCAUGAAUUUAACUUCUCCAAGUUUGGAAGACAACCCCAUGAAAGAGAGUCGUCUGGUAGAGAUGAAAUCAUUUCUCUUGCCUCUAUUGCCGUACCUCCUACGGAUCCUUUAGAGCAAUAUCUUGAGCAUGAAAAUGAUAUGCAUAUGGAGGAGAGAGAUGAGAUAGAUAGAAUUGUCUUAGAACAACAUCCUAUUCUCAAGAAUAAUCUGCCUGUUGAACUGCUUGGGGAUCCUCCCCCACCUAAGGGUGAUCCUGUGUUCGAGCUUAAAUAGUUGCCUGAUACUCUUAAGUAUGCCUAUCUUGAUGAGAAGGAUAUAUAUCCUGUCAUUAUCAGUGCCCUCCUCUCAGAGCUCGAAGAGAAGAAGUUACUAAAAACUCUGAGGAAGCACCGCGCUGCUAUUGGAUAUACUCUUGAUGAUCUUAAUUAAGGGUAUUAGUCCUACUCUAUGUCAGCACAAGAUUAAAACCGAUCCUGACUUUAAACCAGUUGCUGAUCAUCAAAGGAGAUUGAAUCCUAAGAUGAAAGAGGUCGUUAGAAAAGAAAUAUUAAAGCUUCUGGAAGCAGGAAUCAUUUAUCCUGUUGCUCAUAGUGAUUGGUAAGUCCAGUACAUUGCGUACCUAAGAAGGGAGGUAUCACCGUCGUUCCUAAUGAUAAGGAUGAACUAAUCCCACAAAGGAUUAUUACCGGCUAUAGAAUGGUGAUAGACUUCCGGAAACUGAACAAGGCAACCAGGAAAGAUCAUUAUCCUUUGUCGUUCAUCGACCAAAUGCUAGAAAGGCUAUCAAAACACACACACUUCUGCUUUCUAGACGGUUAUUCAGGUUUCUCGUAGAUACUUGUUGCACAAUCUGAUCAAGAGUAAACCACUUUCACCUGCCCUUUCGGUACCUUUGCCUAUAGACGUAUGCCUUUUGGCUUAUGCAAUGCACCCGCCACCUUCCAAAGAUGUAUGAUGGCUAUAUUCUCUGACUUCUGUGAAAAGAUUGUCGAGGUUUUCAUGGAUUACUUCUCCGUUUAUGGGUCUUCCUUUGAUGAUUGCCUCAGCAACCUUGAUGGAGUCUUACAGAGAUGCGAAGAAACCAACCUCGUCUUGAAUUGGGAGAAGUGCCACUUUAUGGUUAAUGAAGGUAUCGUCUUAGGACACAAAAUCUCUGAAAGAGGCAUUGAAGUUGAUAAGGCUAAGGUUGAUGCAAUUGAUAAAAUGCCUUGCCCCACAGAUAUCAGAGGUAUACGAAGUUUCCUAGGUCAUGCUGGUUUGUAUAGAAGGUUCAUUAAAGACUUAUCUAAGAUUUCUAGGCCUCUUACCAACCUCUUGCAGAAGGAUGUUCCUUUUGUUUUUGAUGAGGAUUGUGAGGAAGCCUUCGAAAUACUUAAGAAGGCUUUGAUAACCGCACCUAUUGUUCAACCACCUGACUGGAACUUGCCCUUUGAAAUCAUGUGUGUCGCUAGUGAUUACGCUGUUGGUGCUGUUCUAGGACAAAGAGUUGACAAGAAGUUGAAUGUCAUUCACUACGCUAGUAAAACUCUAGACAGUGCCCAAAGAAACUAUGUCACUAUGGAGAAGAAAUUUUUAGUAGUCGUGUUUGCAUGUGAAAAAACAGAUCUUACAUAGUUGACUCCAAAGUCACUAUUCACUCUGAUCAGUCUGCUAUUAAGUACCUUAUGCAGAAGAAGGAUGCUAAGCCUAGGCUGAUCAGAUGGGUUCUCCUGCUACAGGAAUUUGAUUUGCACGUCGUUGACCGAAAAGGUGCUGACAAUCCUAUAGCAGAUAACUUGUCUAGACUAGAGAAUGUCCGUGAUGACCCACUACCAAUUGAUGACAGCUUUCCUGAUGAGCAAUUAAAUGUCAUCCGCACUUCACUUAGUGCACCGUGGUAUGCCGAUUAUGCAAACUAUAUCGUAGCCAAAUACAUACCACCCAGUUUCACCUAUGAACAAAAGAGGAAAUUCUUCGUUGAUUUGAGACACUACUUCUGGGAUGAUCCUCACCUUUAUAAGGAAGGAGUAGAUGGUGUUAUUAGACGUUGUGUGCCUGAACAUGAACAGGGACAGAUCCUGCAGAAGUGUCAUUCCGAAGCCUACGGAGGACACCAUGCUGGAGAUAGAAUUGCCCAUAAGGUAUUGCAAUCAGGUUUCUAUUGGCCCACUCUCUUCAAGGAUGCCCGUAAGUUUGUCUUUUCUUGUGACGAAUGCCUAAGGAUAGGGAACAUCAGUAAGCGUCAAGAGAUGCCUAUGAACUAUUCACUUGUCAUUGAACCAUUUGAUGUCUGGGGCUUUGAUUAUAUGGGACCCUUCCCGAGUUCCGAUGGGUACACUCACAUCUUAGUUGCUGUGGAUUACGUUACUAAGUGGGUAGAAGCUAUCCCCACUAAAAAUGCUGAUCACCACACCUCUAUUAAGAUGCUUAAAGAAGUCAUAUUCCCAAGAUUUGGAGUCCCUAGAUACUUGAUGACUGAUUGCGAUUCACACUUCAUUCAUGGUGUUUUCCGCAAGAUGCUAGCUAAGUAUGAUGUCAACCAUAGAGUUGCAUCUCCUUAUCAUCCUCAGUCUAGUGGUCAAGUGGAGUUGAGUAAUAGGGAGAUCAAAUUGAUCCUACAAAAGACCGUCAAUAGAUCUCGAAAGAACUGGUCAAGCAAACUUGACGAUGCACUAUGGGCUUAUAGGACUGCUUAUAAGAAUUCCAUGGGCAUGUCACCGUAUAAAAUGGUUUACGGUAAAGUCUAUCAUUUACCUCUUGAGCUGGAACACAAAGCUUAUUGGGCAAUCAAAGAGCUCAACUUUGAUUUCAAACUUGCUGGUGAGAAGCGGUUGUUUGAUAUCAGCUCGUUGGAUGAAUGGAGAGCCCAGGCAUAUGAGAAUGCCAGGUUGUUCAAGGAAAAGGUUAAGAGAUGGCACGACAAACGAAUACAGAAACGAGAGUUCAAUGUAGGUGAUUAUGUCUUGCUAUACAAUUCUCGUUUGAGAUUCUUUGCACGCUAGCUUCUCUCUAAAUGGGAAGGUUCCUAUGUUGUCGAGGAAGUAUAUCGUUCCGGUGCCAUCAAAAUCAAUAACACGGAAGGAAAUUUUCCUAGAGUGGUAAAUGGGCAAAGAAUCAAGCAUUACAUCUCUGGUACUCCCAUAAAUGUUGAGACCAAUAUCAUCAAUGUCAUAACUCCAGAGGAGUACAUAAGGGAUGUUUAUCAGCCUGUUUCAGACCUUGAAAACGAAGAUGUAUCUGUUUCGGCAAGAAAUUGGACUCCGAUAUUUUGUACGCAAGUAUGCAUGAUUGAAUGAAUCAUGAUACGAUCAACGUAUUUUGGCAUUCACUUUCUACAUCUUGUUUUUGUUCUUUUUUUCUUGUUUCUAUCAUUGUGGCACUCGGAUGGAUGGCGACGCUUCUUUUUUGAGUUCAUCUUCCAGGCUUCGAUUCUCAUUAAGUCUGUCCGUCUGGACAUAGUCGACGGAGCUACUGCGUAGAAUCAUGUUGUCUUCUUCUCGUGACGAGGUUAUGGUUUCUCGUCAUAUGACGAGAUUUGGUGUCAUUGCUUCAGAUCAAUGAAAUGGUUCUAUAGCGACGACUACGGUCCCAGGGUUUGGUCCUUACGUGCAUCUGGAGGAAGAUAUCUCGGAUGUCAUCGUCAGUGUCAAGUUGGCUCCGGUAGGGGAGCGGUGACAGCGAUGCAUCGUCGACACGUUCUAUCAGUUAAGUGGUUAUUCGGUGGUUUCGGAAUCUCAUUCUAAUUUUUAUUAUGUUUGAGAUGCUUUGUAUUUUCGAUGAACGUUUAUAAAAGAUCUGAUACUUUGCUUAAAAAUGAAUGAAAAAUGAUCCUUCCCCAUCGACUCUACUUCCGCUGCGCUACGAGUCGGUAAUGAUCAGAUAAAACCCUGUAUGCAUCUCCUUAGUGGUCCUGGGCGUGCUCGUAGUACCGAAAUUUUUUGUUUUCUAUCGCGUUCCUCUACAGUGGAAUCAUGAGCUAAGCUAUGGGUAGAUGGAGGUUAUGAUCUAGAAUACAUGAGAUGUAUGGGUAUAGCAUAGUAUAAUUUUGUAGUAGAUGAGAUCUAUUGCUGAAAAUUAUAUGUGCGGGUAGUAGAUGAAAUCUAUUACCCAAUAUUCUUGUUGCUUCGCGUGAAUUUGUGUGGUCCUGAUCCUGACGGCAUGGUGGAAUCUUACAAAGUUUUGGCAAUCCGCGAUCCUUUCAUGCUGCUCUUGAGUAUGUUGAUUGAUAGAUCACCGAAGUGCUUCAGUGCUUUUGGGUUCCACCAUAGUUGAGAAAGAUGGAUGUUUCGCAGACGAAAGGGAAAUGCAGAUAUGAUCUGCACGGGGGUCAUGCAUAUGACGAAGUUUAGUAUGGGGCUUGAGCUUUUAUUAUCUCGUGUUUCAUACACCUUGGAAAGUUAAUCUAGCAACUUGAAUUAUUAUACCUGAUGAUGAACGUUGGUAGCUGCAGUUUAAGUCAAAAACAUAGAAGCCAUGUAAAAAUAAAAUUUUGCAUUAACCAAUUAGAGGCGUCUAACUUGAUUUUACAGAAUGUGCAUGAGAUGUGGUAUAACAAUUCUCAUAUUCAACUUGAUUACGUAUGAGAUGACUAUAUAAUGUAAAUUAACAUGACCUGUGUGUCAUGAUUCUGCAUGAUGGCUGGAGCCAUAUGAUUGUCACUUUAAUGACAUGUGUUUCGACAUUAAGUAAUGCAUUUAUUUUACCAGCUAUAGAGAUAGCAAUAUUAUUUGAUGCGUCGAAAAGGUGGUGGCAAUAUUAUCUGAUGUGUACAUAUAUUUGUGCUAACCCUUUUCAAGUAUCCACACAACAUUUUUUUAUAAAUUGUGUACUUUUUCUUGGGUUUUAACUCAUCCUAAGUUGUUGUUCCCAUGAUCUUCGUGGGAAACCGUCUACUAUGUAGCUUCUCAUCCUGAAAAAAGGACCAGUUUUUGUAAGGUUGUUGUGUUCUUGGUUCUUUCACAAAAGUAUUGACUAGAUACUCUGCCUCUUUCUCUGAUAUCGGGCUUUCAACUCUCUAGUUAGGGUCAAAGGCUUAGAAUGUUACUCAUUAUGUAAACGAAUAUAAGACAGUUUAGAUCACUAUUAGCAUCUAAAAUGUUAAUAGUGACUCCCUAUAUAAACCAACAAAAGAACCCUUACGUUCUUUAUAUCAAGAUGGCAUUAGCAAUAGAACACUUACGUUACAAUGGGGCAGAAAAAUACCGCACAUCCUUAAUCCAAUAACCAUGACUCAAGGCUGCAUUCGGUCCACGUGGAUACCGUUUGUGUUGCGGCUUAUCCUCAUUACAACCCUUGCCGACAGUGGCCUCAGUCCUCAAACAACCACAACACGUUUGAAUGUGAUCAAUCCUAACGUGUAUUGCUCUCUCUCGGCAUCAAAUGAGAAAUCUUCUUUAUUUUCCCCUUGCAAGGUUUUGUCGAGGCUUGCUUGCGAGGCUAUAGAUGAUUUGUUUUGUCUCCAAUGUGGUUUUGCUAAGGUGCGAUUUCUAUUCCGUUACUACACUGUUUUCAAAGAAAGACGAACCGUGAGCUAUUGAUUAAGAUGGCAACCUAAAUAAUAUUUUAAAAGUGUUUAACAGGUAAAACAAAAUCACAUUCAGAUUCUAUAAUUCUUCUAAUUAAUCUUCAUCUAUAACAUGUCAAAAUUGAAGUUCGGGUUUAAAAGAUAUGGAUGUUCUUAAAAGUAUUUUAAUCAGCCCAUGGAGUUUGGGUUUAUUGAACAAAAUAUCGUUCUGAAAAACAUAGAAGAUUUUCUGGAGUCACUCAAAACAGGACAGUGGGUCGUUUAACCGAAAGGUUAAGAAGUUUUCAGUUAAAAAAAUAAAUAUUUUUUAUAUUCACUUAAAACCAGGACCGUGCGUUGAUUUCAUGAAACAAUAGGGUUUUUUCUUUGCAAAAGGCGCGACGGAUGGGUAGAAACAUUUCUCCUUUUAUUAGUAGGUAAAGACUAGUGAUCAAGAAUGUAUUAUACUCCCUUCAUUUCUAAAUAUAAGUGUUUUUAGAGAUUUCACUAAAAACUAUAUACGGAUGUAUAUAGACACAAUUUAGAUUGUAGAUUCAUUCAUUUUGCUUAAUAAUGGAGGAAGUAUUAGUUUACAGAUGUAGUGUCUUUAUGUGGCUAGCGAAAUACCAACAAUAUCUACAUGAUUAAAUGGAUGUGCCUAUAUGUGCAAUUCAGAGAGCUUGAGAGAGCAAGUUUUGGAUGAAUCCACCUUACUAUAUCCUAGUACAUCCAUCACACGUACAGCUAGCUAGGGAACCCUGACGCAAUGACGUGCAUAUAUAGAUAUGAGGCAACCCUGCCGACAUGGAAAACUAUAUGUCCAUGUGAACACUUGACUGGUCAUACUACACUACAAGAAAAUAGAAUAACCACACACGCAAUGUAUAUCAGAAUACCAGCACCGCGUAGACUUCACUAAUUGCAUGACAGGUCGAUCGACUUGCAUGUCCCAUGGAAAUGACUGGCCUAGGAUCACAGCAGUGGGGUGUCAGUUCGUAAAAUUUAACUUAAGUACCAUCUUAGUUUUAACAAAUAGUCCUAAAAUGGCACAAAGUUGUCAGAGAAUUAUAGCGAAUAUAGUAUAAAGUAGUUUGCAUUUUUUAGAGGAGUGCCACAGCCAUGGCAGUAUGGCACCUCAAGAUCUGCAGCUGUUUCGUGUAUUGGAGCUAAAUAAUGAGUGCAACAUUUCGGUGUCCUCUGCAUCCGGUUAGGAAAAAAAUCAUAAAAAACUUCAAAAAAUGCCAAUAAAAUCAAAAAAAAUCUCAUGGUAGAAAAGUUUUUGCGUGAGGUCCGCUCCAAUUUUUAGAUUAUUUGAACAUCUGAUAAGCUCUCAGCAAAAAAGAUAAAUUGGAUCAGAACAGUGUAUGAACCAUAACUUUUUUAUGAACCCUGAAUUUGUCUUUUUUUCUGAGAGAUGCUGAGAUGUUUAAAUGAUUUAAAAACUGAAGGGGCCUUUACCAUCAAAUUAUCUACAACGUAAAAAAAUCUAGUAUUUGUUUUGAUUUUAUUUUCUUCGGCGCGGGGUGCAGAUGAGCCUGGGCUCGGAAGUGGAUUAUCGCUAAAUAAUAUGUUGUUUUGUCAAAAGAAAGAUAGGACCCCCAGCCUCUGCAACCUCUGCAUUAUGAUGAUGCACACAACCAUAUUUAUUAAAGUUGAUGUAAGGGGCAGAGAACAAAAUUAUCAAUAAGUGUAGUACAUAACUAUUACAAGAUGUGAAUUUAACACUUAGGACUAAAUCGACUUCUUUCGCAAGACUUCAGUAAGGAAAAGACGCCCUCACAUCAUCGUCAUCACAUUCGACCGGAGACGUCUAGGACACGAAUUUCCAUCCUAGUAGCCCAACCAAGGCCGGGCGGGUCGCUGUUGGAUAUGAAUCCUGCAACUACCCUUGUUGGGCCAGUGGCUCCAGUCGAAGGCGCGAGAUGGCACAACUGCCCCGUCUACUUUAACGGGACCAUGAAGGCGCCUCAAAGCGCCAGCAUCACUCGCCAUGAGGAGCUCUCGAAGAUGGACUUGAGAGAAGGGGAGCGCUUACACGAUUUUGCUCAAGGAGAGGGGGAGCGCUUACACGAUUUUGCUCAAGGAGAGGGUGCAUCGUAAAAUCGCACGGUCUCCUAGAUUAGGGGGUAUUAACCUGGUCGGUCCACGCUCCUCGAAUUGGGCCGAUGGGCCAUCAUCCUACUCGAGGUGGACUCCGGAAGCUGCACAUUGGGUGUUAUCAAGGUUACAUCUGCCGAAGGCUUGACAUAUACUUCAAGACUCCUCCUCCCGCCUCUAUGUUAGGAUACCGACCUUGUAGCCCUAGAUAUCCUACGUAGGGUUUUACCUUCAUCAAGAGGGCUCGAACCUGGAUAAACAUCGUCUCCCUGUUCCUGUUAUCAUUUGUCCAACAUCAACAGCUUGGGGCCUCCUACCCCGAGGUCUACCGGUUUUCACACCCACUGUGUUCUCUCAAGAAAAAAAUGCUAUAUUUUUUUAACCGGUCUAACCCCCUUUCCAUUACUUGAAUAACGAAAUACAUCAGAUCCUAGAGUUCAACAGGAGGAGGGAAAGGAGAUAGAGCGAGUUCAACCAUUGCUAGGAAACCCACUGUGACCGCUCGUCAUCGAAUCGAUCACUGCGAGACGAAAACCUAGCUACAAUAUCCUAGCGGGAGAAGUAUCAUUCCUAUUACAACCUAGGAAUAAUAGGUACAAAAGAGAUAAUAGACUAAACAGUUUUUAAGUAUGUCAGAACACCACAAAAAGACUGCCAGCAGCCACCCUUGCAAAAGUGCAUCGUCCCCAUACCUCCGCUGUUCAUCCACGGCCAGCAUUGCACAGCCUCAUCAGUGACACAGUCCCCGCCCGAACAACUUCAGUUCCGGUUCGCAUCCUCUUCAUGUCGCCUGCUGGCUGCAAACCUGCCCAAUAAAGAAGGAAAGAGCAAUCAGUAAACACAAUCUCAAAUGAAGAUUUGAUCGGUUUUUUCUCCAAGGUAGGUGGAUUCCGAGCUAACCAAAUAGCCCAGGUAAUUGCAGCCAAGCCCACCGUAUAGAAUUUAUCAUCUCCAGGCAUGAAACAAUGGGACCAGGCAAAGUAUUGUCAGUGGUUGUUGGGUCCAAAAUAUGUCCCCAAACAAACCCCAGCCGAACGCCAUAACGCCAUAACUCUACAAAAAAGUGAUAUAAUGUGUAACUAUUUUGUUCAAGUCGAGCAGAUGGACUCUAUCUUGCACCAUAGCGUUUAAGCAGUAUUGAAAUUAGGUCCGCCUAUACAUCAAGUAUCUUGGGAAAAAAAACUGCAUCGAUCAAUUUUCCCAGCAGUUGGAUGGCACGAUCGUGGCACCACCUAUUAUCGUUUUCGCCCCUCACAUCGUACCUCCGUUCGGCCUCGCACAAAACAAAUUGUGUCUGACGCAAAGAAAAAAUGUAGGUACCUGAUGUUUAUCUAAACAAAUUGUGUGUUGGAUUAACUACUUAUUAUACAACAAGCUGAAGGUAUGUGUCCAGCCGUGCCAACGAGCCCGUACGGAAGAUAUAAUAGACACAUGAAAUCAAAGACAUACAGCUCGGAUAUGCGUCUCCCGUGAACGUGAUGAUCAGGGUAAGCCAGCUCCUAGAGCUGCCNNNNNNNNNNACAGAUGGACUCUAUCUUGCACCACAGCGUUUAAGCAGUAUUGAAAUUAGGUCGAGCAUAUGGUUUUCGCCCCUCACAUCGUACCUUCGUUCGGCCUCGCACAAAACAAAUUGUGACUGACGCAAAAAAAAAAUUCAGGUACCUGAUGUUUAUCAAAUGUGUGGAAUUCUUCGUCGGCACAACCAAUGGCGUCCUGGAUUAACUAAUUAUUAUACAACAAGCUGAAGGUAUGUGUCCAGCCGUGCCAACGAGCCCGUACGGAAGAUAUAAUGGACACAUGAAAUCAAAAAACCAUACAGCUCGUAUAUGUGUCUCCCGUGAACGUGAUGAUCAGGGUAAGCCAGCUCCGAGAGCUGCCAUGCCAGAUAUAUAUAUUCCUUUGUCCGAUGCGAUGCUCUAGAUUAUUUUGGCUCCACACUCGUAAAUCCAUCAAAUAUUUAUGUGCACUCUGCAGCAGACAACAUGCACAUAGGAGUACUCUUCUUGAAAANNNNNNNNNNUUUGAGAGCUCCCGUGAACCUUUGUCCGAUGUGAUGCUCUAAAUUAUUUUGGCUCCACACUCGUAAACCCAUCAAAUAUUUAUUUGCACUCUGCAGCAGACAACAUGCACAUAGGAGUACUCUUCUUGAAAACUAAAGGAAAGUCUCGUGGCACAGCUCUCAGGUUUUUGUUCAUUAGCGAACACAUUAAGCUCUAAUGAUGGAUGUCACACGUAACAUGCCAGUACAAUAAUGGUUGCACAUGAGUUUUGGAAAUUACCACGGCAACAGGCAAACUAACUACGUCGAUUGAUAAUGACAUGAACGAGGCACUUGCACNNNNNNNNNNCAAUGAUGGAUGUCACACACGUAACAUGCCAGUACAAUAAUGGUUGCACAUGAGUUUUGGAAAGUACCACGGCAACACGCAAACUAACUACGUCGAUUGAUAAUGACAUGAACGAGGCACUUGCACNNNNNNNNNNCUCGAUUGAUGAUGACAUGAAGGCACUUGCACACCACACCCGGUCUAUAAGUACCACCCCCAAACAACCCAAGAAAACCAUCCCAAGCUAGCAUACCCUACAAGCUUAAUUAGCCACAUACCAGCACAAACGAUCAGUAGCAAUNNNNNNNNNNUCUGUCCCAACAGCACUUGCACACCCCACCCGGUCUAUAAGUACCACCCCAAACAACCCAAGAAAACCAUCCCAAGCUAGCAUAGCCUACAAGCUUAAUUAGCCACAUACCAAAGGGCCUCCUGCCUGGGCUCACCGCACCGGCCACGUGGAGGCCCAUCUGUCCCGGUUUAUGCAAGAACCGAGACUAAAGGUUUAGGGCAUUAGUACCGACACUUUAGUCCCGGUUCAAAAAACGGGACAAAUGGCCCUCACGAACCGGGACAAUAGGUCCUUUUUCUACUAAUGGGAUAAGCUCUUUUGCAUUGUAGCUCGCUGGACGGUGUGGUUUAACUUUAGGUUUGUCCUUGUGAUGUUCGUGCUAUGCAUCAAGUGAUAGCUNNNNNNNNNNNNNNNNNNNNNNNNNNNNNNNNNNNNNNNNNNNNNNNNCUGGACACAUGGAAUCAAAACCGUACGAGACUCCUAUAUGUGUCUCCCGUGAACGUGAUGAUCAGGGUAAGCCAGCUCCUAGAGCUGCCAUGCCAGAUAUAUGUAUAUAUUCCUUUGUCCGAUCCGGUGCUCCAGAUUAUUAUGGCCACACUUGUAAGCCCAUCAAAUAUUUAUGUACACACAGCAGACAACAUGCAUAUAGGAGUANNNNNNNNNNAUGGACACAUGGAAUCAAAAUCGUACGACUCCUAUUUGUGUCUCCGUGAACGUGAUGAUCAGGGUAAGCCAGCUCCUAGAGCUGCCAUGCCAGAUAUAUCUAUUCCUUUGUCCGAUCCUGUGCUCCAGAUUAUUAUGGCCACACUUGUAAGCCAUCAAAUAUUUAUGUACACACAGCAGACAACAUGCAUAUAGGAGUACUCUUCUUGGAAACAAAAGGAAACUCUCAUGGCACAGCUCUCAAGUUUUUGUUCAUUAGCGAACAGAUUAAGCUCCAAUGAUGGAUGUCACACCCGUAACAUGCGAGUACAAUAAUGGUUGCACAUGAGUUUUGGAAAUUACCACGGCAAGAUUGAAACUAAUUACGUCGAUUGAUAAUGACAUGAACGAGGCAUUUGUUGGAAAUAAGUCGUGACGGAGCACGGUGCGACCGGCGUCGAUGCGUCGGGUCGGGUCCGUGACGGUGCGACCGACGUUGGUGCGUCGGGUCGGGUUCCGCAGGCUGGGUUACGACAACAUUGUGUGCAUGUACGUGUGGCGUGUGUGUAGUGCAGCGCAAAGCGUGCGUGGUCGCCAAGGCAGCUCGAGCUGGCCGUUAGCACGUUGUGCGCCUCGUGCGUGCUGGCCGGGCGGAUCGCUAGCUCUAGGUGCGUGCGUGCGUAGGAGACGUGGACGCUGCGUACCUGUAGGACUACAAAGCCGCGGACGCGAACAUGUAUUCAUCAGGGAAAGGAAGCAAAGUGGCUGUGUGUGCGGCCAGGCGUUAGUCGCCGGAAAAACUCCAGUGUGCAUUCUCCUUUCUUCUACCUCUGUCCAGUUGUGUGUGAGAGANNNNNNNNNNUCGAGUUCGUCGCUUGCCGCGCCGGGCAGGAGAACGAGAGGAAGAAGAAGAGAAAUGGAUGAUUUGGUUCGAAAUUUUCUAACUCCCGCUUAUACAGGUGGAUCUACAGUCCCGAUUCGUGGCUCGAUCCGGGACUAAAGAUCCUUUAGUCCCGGAUGGAGCCACGAACUGGGACUAAAGGCCCUUUUUCGGCUGACCAGAAGGCGGGAAGCAGGGGCCUUUAGUCCCGGGGCGUGGCUCGAACCGGGACUAAAGACCACUUUAGUCCCGGGUGGAGCCACGACCCGGGACUAAAGCCCCUUUUUCGGCUGACCAGAAGGCGGGAAGCAGGGGCCUUUAGUCCCGGGGCGUGGAAAGAACCGGGACUAAAGUUUUGCCUAUAUAAACCCUCGCCCCUGCCCACCAUAUCCCCUGUUUUUUGGUUGUUGAAGUGUGACCAUGCCAUGCUCUUGCCACUCUAGUUCAUGCACAUGACGUGUUCGAUGAAAUGCUCGAGCCACUCUACUUAAGCUUUCUCCUCUCCAAGCUCGACCUCCAAGCUCCAUUUUCCUUAAUAUUUGUCUAGGUUUGGCCGUGCACCAACUGCGAGCACCACCGUGGUGAGCCUCUUGUUCUUAUCUUCUUUUUAAAAUUAAAAAAAUCUUACUUGUAUGAAUUAUAUACAUACUUGUAUAAAUUACUCACUUUCAUUAUUUUUUGUUAUGAUAUAGUGCGAUGGUUUUGGUAUCCGCCUCCGUCGGCCCUCGUCCUGUCUAUGAUUCGGAUGUGGUAUAUAUUAUAUUUUAUAACUAUUUGUUUUAUUUAGUGUUUAUGACAAUUAUGACAUAUAUUUUUUAAUCUAGGAGGUAUGUGAACCGGAAAUUCCAACCCACAUAAAAAUUCUUGUCGAGAAGUUCAAUUUGGUUGAAAAAGAAAACAAAUACUUGAAGAAAAAAUUGAAAAUAAUUGAGGAUAAGAAUAUGGAACUGGAGUUGCAUGUCGCCGAUGUCAUCGAUGAUUGCAAGAUGAAGAUCGAUGCGAUGCGGUUGAAGAUGGAUGCAAUGCGCUUGAAGAUGGAUGAAAUGCGCUUGAAGAUUAGGAAUAUUAGAAAAUAUGCCAUUGAUAAGGAGGUUGGUAUCAUUAUGUUGUUGGGUCAAUUGUUACCUUAGUGCGAUUUUGAUCGCGUUUGUUGUUGCAUUUAAAUGUUUUACAUAGUUGUAUGUUGUUUCAUGAGAGAACUUUAUGUAUUUAUUUUUUGCAAUAAUAACAUUUGGUCACUACUGUUCUUUGGCUUUAAUGUGAUGAUGAACUUGUAUUAAUUUGGUCAUAUGUUUUGCAAUGGUUUUUUAAUAUAUUUGAUUUCAUAAUAGAGAUGAAUCGCCAAUGAUAAUAUUUAAUUUCAUAAUAUGGUUUUUUGAACUCCAUAAAAAGUUGAGAGGGCUACGACAAAAACUAGAUGCACUUCGUGUACAAAACGGACAAUCUCUCUCGAAGUAUCAGGGUUUCGAACGAGAACUUGUCUCUUACAAAGGGAUUUCAUUUUUGUGAACUUAUUUGAACUCCAUACUUUUUGGUGUGUUCAAAAUGCACCAUUCAAAGGCACAACACAAAAUUUCAACAAUUUCUGACUUCAUUUGGUAUAUUUCGUGGAUUUACUUAUUUGUUUUGAGCUAGUUGACCCUGAAAUUGAAAAGCACUACAAAUGAACUCUGAAAAUGUUGAAAGUUGGCAUGCUAUCAUCAUUUCACCCACAUAGCAUGUGCUAAAAAGUUGAGAGGGCUACGACAAAAACUGGAUGCACUUCGUGUACAAAACGGACAAUCUCUCUCGAAGUAUCAGGGUGUCGAACGAGAACUCAUCUCUUACAUGGAUAAUAUGAAAAUGAAAAGUGUUUGAAAUUUAGUACGUUCCAUACAUGCAUUACAUAAAAGGUUUAAUANNNNNNNNNNUUGGAUGCACUUCGUGUACAAAACGGACAAUCUCUCUCGAAGUAUGAGGGUUUCGAACGAGAACUCAUCUCUUACAUGGAUAAUAUGAAAAUGAAAAGUUUUUGAAAUUUAGUACGUUCCAUACAUGCAUUACAUAAAAGGUUUAAUACAUUAUUACAUUAUUGCACCAAUAUUCCUAUCUAUUAUUUCUGUUUUAUUCUGGGUCAUAGCCAUGGAGAAUCUUCAUCAUUCAUUAGGAUGCUUGGGUCAUUUUUCACUUUGAAGGGCGGAAUUUCAUGAAACUUAUUAUAAUCUUCUGNNNNNNNNNNCUUUUCUUCUGGGUCGUAGCCAUGGAGAAUCUUCAUCAUUCAGUAGGAUGCUUGGGUCAGUUUUCACUUUGAAGGGCGGAAUUUCAUGAAACUUAUUAUAAUCUUCUGACAUGUCUGUCUUGUCAUCUACUCCCACGAUGUUUCUUUUCCCUGAAAGAACCAUGUGGCGUUUUGGCUCAUCGGAUGAUAUCUUCUUUUGCUGAUUUCUUUUUCUCGUUAAUGUAGACAUGUCCUUCACAUAGAAAACCUGAGCGACAUCAUUGGCUAGGACAAAUGGUUCGUCCAUGUACGCAAGAUUGUUAAGAUCCACUGUUGUCAUGCCGUACUUUUGGUCUACAACUAACCCGCCUCCUCUCAGUUUCACCCAUUUGCACCGAAAUAAAGGAAUCAUAAAAGUAGGUCCAUAGUCAAGUUCCCAUAUCUCCUCUAUGUACCCGUAAUAUGUUUCCAAACAGUGCCCAUUCUCGUCUGUUGCAUCAAAGCAUACACCACUAUUUUGGUUGGUGCUCUUUUUAUCUUGGGCAACCGUGUAAAAUGUAUUCCCAUUUAUCUCAUACCCUUGCAAAGUACAUAUAGUCGAAGAUGGUGGCCUGGCCAAACAGUACAGCUCAUCUCCAACGGUGUCGUCAUUCAGGAGAUGUGUCUGCAACCAACUNNNNNNNNNNGAAAGUACAUAUAGUCGAAGAUGGUGGCCUGGCCAAACAAACAACUCAUCUCCAACGGUGUCGUCAUUCAGGAGAUGUGUCUGCAACCAACUGCCGAAAGUCUUCUCGUGUUCCCCUUUAAUCCAAGAGUCAGCCUUCCCCGGGUUUUCGGAGCGUAGAAUAUUCUUGUGUCUCACGAUAUACGGAGCCACCAUGGUGGAAUUGUGUAGAACUGUGUAGUGUGCUUGAGAGAAAGAAUGCUCGUCCAUACAUACUUUUGCUUUCCUUCCUAGUGUGCCUUUUCCUGUCAGCCUACCCUCAUACCGAGAUUCAGGAACACCAAUCGGCUUAAGGUCAGGAAGAAAGUCCACACAAAACUCAAUGACCUCCUCUGUUCCAUAGCCCUUGGAGAUGCUUCCUUCUGGCCUAGCACGGUUACGAACAUAUUUCUUUAAGACUUCCAUGGACCUCUCGAAGGGGAACAUAUUGUGUAGAAACACAGGACCGAGAAUUCUAAUCUCUUCGACUAGGUGAACUAGGAGGUGUGUCAUUAUAUUGAAGAAGGAUGGCGGGAACAACAACUCAAAGCUGACCAGACAUUGGACCACAUCAAUCUGUAACCCUGAUAGACUUUCUCGAUCGAUUACCUUCUGAGAAAUUGCAUUGAGGAAUGCACAUACCUUCACAAUUGCCAGGCGAACAUUUUCCGGUAGAAUUCCCCUCAAUGCAACCGGAAGCAAUUGCGUCAUAAGCAUGUGGCAGUCAUGAGACUUUAGGUCUUGGAAUUUUUUGUCUUUCAUAUUUAUGAUUCCCUUUAUAUUCGACGAGAAGUCAGUCAGGACCUUGAUACUGAAAAGGACUUCAAAGAAGAUUUCCUUCUCUUCCUUAGUAAGAGCGUAGCUGGCACGCCCUUGAAACUGCCCUGGAUGCAUGCCAUCUCUUCCUUUAUGACGUUCCUGGUCCUCCCGUGCUUCCGGUGUAUCUUUUGACUUCCCAUACAAGCCCAGGAAGCCUUGAAUAUUCACGCAGAGAUUCUUCGUCAGGUGCAUCACGUCGAUUGCCGAGCGGACCUCAUGGACUUCCCAGUAGGGUAGCUCCCAAAAUAUAGAUUUCUUCUUCCACAUGGGUACGCGCUUAUCAGGGCCGUUAGGAACAGGUUGGCUGCCAGGACCCUUUCCAAAGAUUACUUUUAAAUCUUUGACCAUAUCAAAUACUUCAGCACCAGUACGGAUGACAGGCUUCCCCCGGGGUUCUGCCUUGCCAUUGAAAUGNNNNNNNNNNAGACCCUUUCCAAAGGUUACUUUUAAAUCUUUGACCAUAUCAAAUACUUCAGCACGAGUACGGAUGACAGGCUUCCCCCGGGGUUCUGCCUUGCCAUUGAAAUGCUUGACUUUUUUCUUUAAGGGAUGCUUGGGCGGAAGAAAACAACGAUUGUACGGAUACACAUUCUUCCUACAGUUGUCGAGAUAUAUACUUUCUGUCUGAUCCAAACAGUGCGUGCAUGCAUUGUAUCCCUUGUUUAACUGUCCUGAAAUGUUACUAAGAGCAGGCCAAUCAUUGAUGGUUACGAAAAGCAACUCUCGAAGGUCAAAUUCCUCUUGUUUGUGCUCGUCCCACACACGUACACCUGGUUCGGCCCACAGCUGUAAAAGUUGAUCAACUAAUGGCCUUAGGUACACAUCAAUAUCGUUGCCGGGUUGCUUUAGACCUUGUAUAAGCACUGGCAUCAUAAUAAACUUCCGCUUCAUGCACAACCAAGGAGGAAGGUUGUAGAUACAUAGAGUAAUGGACCAGGUGUUGUGACUGCAACUCUGCUCCCCAAAAGGAUUCAUGCCAUCUGUACUCAGACCUAACCAUAAGUUCCUUGCGUCUGCUGCAAAUCUCGGGAACUCUCUCUUGAUUUUUCUCCACUGCCGACCAUCAGCGGUGUGCCUCAACUUAUCGUCUUUCAUACAAUCUUCCAUGUGCCAUCGCAACAACUUCGCAUGAUCUUUAUUUCUGAACAGACGUUUCAACCGUGGUAUUAUAGGAGCAUACCACAUCCCCUGGCAGGAACCGUCUUCCUGGGUGGCUCGCCCUCAAUAUCACCAGGGUCAUCUUUUCUGAUCUUAUACCGCAAUGCAGUCUAUACCGGGCAUUUAUCCAUAUUCUCGUACUUCUCACCUCGGUAGAGGAUGCAUUCAUUAGGGCAUGCAUGUAUCUUCUGCACGUCUAAUCCUAGAGGGCAGACAAGCUUCUUUGCUUCGUACGUGCUGGCGGGCAAUUCGUUCUUUCUUGGAAGCAUCUUCUUCAUCAGUACCAGCAACUUUUCGAAUGACGAGUCAGUCACACCGGUCUCUGUCUUCCACUUCAGCAAUUCCAGUGUGCUACCCAGCUUCUUCUGGCCAUCUUCACAAGUUGGGUACAACAAUUUGUUGUGGUCCUGUAACAUCUGCUCGAACUGCAACCUCUCCUUUUCUAUGUCGCAACCUCGCCGUGCAUCAGAAAUGACCCGGCCAAGAUCAUCAGCGGGCUCAUCUGGUUCCCGUUCUUCAUCCUGAUCUUCUUCUUCAUUGUCUUGCAUUGCGGUAUCAGCAUACUCAGGGAACAUAGAUCGGUAGUUGUCAUCAUCGUUCUCUUCUUCUUCAUCGUCGCCUUCCAUCAUAACCCCUCUUUCUCCGUGCUUGGUCCAAACAUUAUAGCCCGACAUAAAACCGGACCGAAGCAGGUGGCUCUGAAUGACUCUUGAGGAAGUGUAAUCCUUCCAAUUCGACAUUCAACACAUGGACAAAACAUAUAGCCACCACCAUGCUUGUUCGCAUUGGCUGCAUCUCGAAAAGAAUGCACGCCUUCUCUGUAAGCGGCUGUGCGUCGAUCACCGUACAUCCAUGGAUGGCUCAUCUCUGCGUUAUACGACAGUAUAUCAAAUACAAUCACGAUCCUAAAAAUUAGUACCGCACGAUCUAAACGAGGAAAUAUAGUUGCUAACCUUUUAGAAUAAGUAGAAAUAAAGAGGAAGAGGUUUAAGCGUGGCUUGGGCAUCUCAUAUCGUAGUUGUAUUCGGUGAACUGAAGCGGCAUCGCUCUAACACACAUUUCAACAAACACCUCUAGUGCAUAAAAAAAAGUGGAGAGCAAGCACCCACCCACAAUCCUCCAUCCAAUAAAAAUGCAACGAAGAGGGGAGAGGGGGGCUGUGCUAUAUAUAGGCAGAGGACUUUAGUCCCGGUUUGAGACACAAACCGGGACUAAAGGUGGCGCACAUGCGGGCUGCCCACCGCGUAGCCCUUUACUCCCGGCUUGGGACACGAACCGGGACUAAAGGCUCCUUACGGGCCGGGACUAAAGCCUCGAGGGAGGAUAUGAGAAUUGGGGCGACGUAGCCGGGCCUUUAGUUCCGGCCCAGAGGCAGGCCGGGACUAAAGGGUACAGGCCAAAGGCCCGGUUUCUACUAGUGUAUGUGUCCAGCCCUGCCAACGAGCCAGUAUAAUACACCAGAGUACGAAAGAUAUAAUAUACACAUGAAAUCAAAACCAUACAGCUCUUAUAUGUGUCUCCCGUGACCGUGAUGAUCAGGGUAUGCCAGCCCCUAGAGCUUCCAUGCCAGAUAUAUUCCUUUGUCCGAUGCUAUGCUCCAGAUUAUUAUGGCCACACUUGUAAACCAAUCAAAUAUUUAUAUGCAAACAGCAGACAACAUGCAUAUAGGAGUAUCUUCUUGGAAACUAAAGGAAACUCUCAUGGCACAGCUCCCAGGAUUUUGUUCAUUAGUGAAGAGCAGAUUAAGCUCCAAUGAUGAAUGUCACACACGUAACAUGCCAGUACAAUAAUGGUUGCACAUGAGUUUUGGAAACUACCACGGCAAGAAUGAAACUAAUUACCUCGAUUGAUAAUGACAUGAACGAGGCACUUGCACACCACACCCGGUCUAUAAGUACCACCCCCAAACAACCCAAGAAAACCAUCCCAAGCUACCAUAGCCUACAAGCUUAAUUAGCCAUAUACCAGCACGAUCCAUCAGUAGCAAUGGCGCCUUCCAAGCUCGCCUUCUUCCUCGCUCUGAACCUGGUCCUCCUUGCCGCCGUGCAGGGCUGCGGUCCCUACUGCCCACCGGUCNNNNNNNNNNGGCGCCCUCCAAGCUCGCCCUCUUCCUCGCCCUGAACCUGGUCCUCCUUGCCGCUGUGCAGGGCUGCGGCCCCUACUGCCCACCGGUCGUCCCCACCCCGCCGAUCCUCCCACCACCCGUGCCGUCGACCGACGGAGGCAGCUGCUCGAUCAACACGCUGAAGCUGGGCGUGUGCACCAACGUGCUGAACCUGCUGAAGCUUAAGAUUGGCGUGCCGGCGAACGAACAGUGCUGCCCACUCCUGGGCGGGCUCGCCNNNNNNNNNNGCUGCUCGAUCAACACGUUGAAGCUGGGCGUGUGCGCCAACGUGCUGAACCUGCUGAAGCUCAAGAUCGGCGUGCCGGCGAACGAGCAGUGCUGCCCACUCCUGGGCGGGCUCGCCGACCUCGACGCCGCGGUGUGCCUCUGCACCGCCAUCAGGGCCAACAUCCUCGGCAUCAAGCUCAACGUCCCCAUCGACCUGACCCUCCUCCUCAACCAGUGCGGCAAGAAGUGCCCAACCAACUUCACCUGCCCCAUCUGAUGCAUCCAUCCAUUGCAUGGGCUCCCUCGCUCGUGCAUGCAUGCUUGAUAAGCUCGUGAUUGAUCAUCAGGGUCAUUGUAUCCCGUUAUGGUAUCUAAAUGCACGAUUUGCAUAUUUGUAAAAGGAUAUACAUACUUGUACACGCACCUUGGAAUAUAAAAUUUGUUCAAGUUGGGGUUUUCUCUCUUCCCUCUCGGCUGGAACCCUAGCCCUCCUCGUCAAGAGAAAAGAUCAUCCUAGUGUAUGUAGCUUAGUAAAUAUACCCUAGCCCUCCUCGGCACAAAAAAUCUUAUGUAACUUAGGAACAAGGCAGGAUCUAAGAAUCAUUUUUNNNNNNNNNNCAACACGUUGAAACUGGGCGUGUGCGCCAACGUGCUGAACCUGCUGAAGCUCACUCCUGGGCGGGCUCACCGACCUCGACGCUGCCGUGUGCCUCUGCACCGCCAUCAGGGCCAACAUCCUCGGCAUCAAGCUCAAUGUCCCCAUCGACCUCACCCUCCUACUCAACCAGUGCGGCAAGAAGUGCCCCGCCAACUUCACCUGCCCCAUCUGAUCCAUCUAUCCAUGGAUUUACUCGUAGCUAUAUAUUGCAUGUCAUACGCGCGCACCAUAUGUCAGGACUUUGCAUGGGCUCCCUCGCUCGUGCAUGCAUGCUUGAUAAGCUCGUGAUNNNNNNNNNNNNNNNNNNNNNNNNNNNNNNNNNNNNNNNNNNNNNNNNNNNNNNNNNNNNNNNNNNNNNNNNNNNNNNNNNNNNNNNNNNNNNNNNNNNNNNNNNNNNNNNNNNNNNNNNNNNNNNNNNNNNNNNNNNNNNNNNNNNNNNNNNNNNNNNNNCUACUUGUACACGUACCUUGGAAUAUAAAGUUUGUUCAAGUUGGGUUAACUCGACUCGUGAUAUGCCAGCUUGAGUUGUAUAUUCAUGCAUGAUUGCAUCAAUCAUGAUCAGAUCCACAUCUUUCCACAUGCAUUAGCUACAUCUUCUUUCUUUCUUUUUUGCCUAGAUGAUCGUUGCUAAAACUAAAUAUCAUGCUGAAGAUUUUCUUCUCUCCAAUGCCACCUUUUUACAUCUUGACGUUCUAGCUGAUCCAUAAAAAAUUCAAGGAUGCAUGCAUCGUACUCCUAUAUGGUAGAUGUCAUCUACCUUUGCGGCUUUUUUUAUGCAAUUGCACAUGCUCAUAGCUCACAUACACGUACAUACACUCACCUAUAUAAACUUAUGCACGCAUCCUAUAUCUACGAGCGCCUCCGAGAUAUUGAGUCACCACAACAUUUGAGAUUGACAAAGUCGUCAGAAACGUUUCAUGAUAGAUGGAAAUAUCUUCUUUCACUGAUCGAACAUCGCCAUGUGACAUUUGUGGUAAGCAGUUCAAACUUAUUAAGGAAAGAAUUGAAUAAAUCUAGAAAAUUUUGAGCAUUGGUGUCAAGUCUAACUGGUGGGCUGAUUCCACCGCAAGUAACCUAACUAUUUAUGCUAUGCUCAAUUCGCUACUUAAGUUAGCAUAAUAUAUUCUAUAGUGAAUAUGUACAAGUCAUCCAUUGUUGUAUCUUGUUGUGGCAUCUAACAGACUCACAUGUUCAUAGAAGGACACAAAGAAUAAUAAAAAGAGUGAAUUCUGGUUUUUACCCCCUAUUUUAACAUUUUUGACACUAGUUACCCGAUUUCAAGUCUAGCAUGUUCCUGGGCGGGCUCGCCGACCUCGACGCCGCCAUGUGCCUCUGUACCGCCAUCAGGGCCAACAUCCUCGGCAUCAAGCUCAACGUCCCCAUCNNNNNNNNNNNNNNNNNNNNNNNNNNNNNNNNNNNNNNNNNNNNNNNNNNNNNNNNNNNNNNNNNNNNNNNNNNNNNNNNNNNNNNNNNNNNNNNNNNNNNNNNNNNNNNNNNNNNNNNNNNNNNNNNNNNNNNNNNNNNNNNNNNNUCCCAUGUUGAUAAACGUUGAUGCUGCAGUCUUCUCACAAUCAUCACGAAUGGGAGUGGGCAUAGUAAUAAGAAGUCACCUAGGAGGCUAGGACUACUACUAGCAACCAAAACAAGGUAUGUGGACCAAGUGGUUAACCUUGAACUCGCGGAGGCCUGUCCCAUGUGAUCCCAUGUUACAGUUCAUAUGUCAGGCGUUUGCAUGGGCUCCCUCGCUCGUGCAUGCAUGCUUGAUAAGAUUGUGAUUGAUCAAUGUCAAUGUAUCACGUUAUGGUAUCUAAAUGCAUGAUUUGCAU